This 94-nucleotide transfer RNA is filed under the name Gammaproteobacteria bacterium. RNAcentral's name for it is "tRNA-Sec". It matches the Rfam family "Selenocysteine transfer RNA". The record is from RNAcentral. Lineage: Bacteria; Pseudomonadati; Pseudomonadota; Gammaproteobacteria.
GGAAGAGCAUCGCCUCCGGUGGGGCGCGCGGCCUUCAAAGCCGUUGAGACUUCUAAUCGAAGUCUGGUGGGUUCGACUCCUACCUCUUCCGCCA